This 986-nucleotide ribosomal RNA is filed under the name Morchella esculenta. RNAcentral's name for it is "SSU rRNA". It matches the Rfam family "Eukaryotic small subunit ribosomal RNA", at positions 71 to 1065 of the family's 1831-position model. Lineage: Eukaryota; Fungi; Ascomycota; Pezizomycetes; Pezizales; Morchellaceae. The record is from RNAcentral.
AAUAUAUACAGUGAAACUGCGAAUGGCUCAUUAAAUNNGUUAUCGUUUAUUUGAUAGUACCUUACUACUUGGAUAACCGUGGUAAUUCUAGAGCUAAUACAUGCUAAAAACCCCGACUUAACGGAGGGGUGUAUUUAUUAGAUAAAAAACCAAUGNCCUUCGGGCUCCUUGGUGAUUCAUGAUAACUUAACGAAUCGCAUGGCCUUGUGCCGGCGAUGGUUCAUUCAAAUUUCUGCCCUAUCAACUUUCGAUGGUAGGAUAGUGGCCUACCAUGGUUUCAACGGGUAACGGGGAAUUAGGGUUCGAUUCCGGAGAGGGAGCCUGAGAAACGGCUACCACAUCCAAGGAAGGCAGCAGGCGCGCAAAUUACCCAAUCCCGACACGGGGAGGUAGUGACAAUAAAUACUGAUACAGGGCUCUUUUGGGUCUUGUAAUUGGAAUGAGUACAAUUUAAAUCCCUUAACGAGGAACAAUUGGAGGGCAAGUCUGGUGCCAGCAGCCGCGGUAAUUCCAGCUCCAAUAGCGUAUAUUAAAGUUGUUGCAGUUAAAAAGCUCGUAGUUGAACCUUGGGUCUGGCUGGUCGGUCCUCCUCACCGAGUGUACUGAUCCGGCCGGACCUUUCCUUCUGGCUAGCCGCAUGCCCUUUACUGGGUGUGUCGGGGAACCAGGACUUUUACUUUGAAAAAAUUAGAGUGUUCAAAGCAGGCAUUUGCUCGAAUACAUUAGCAUGGAAUAAUAGAAUAGGACGUGCGGUUCUAUUUUGUUGGUUUCUAGGACCGCCGUAAUGAUUAAUAGGGAUAGUCGGGGGCAUCAGUAUUCAAUUGUCAGAGGUGAAAUUCUUGGAUUUAUUGAAGACUAACUACUGCGAAAGCAUUUGCCAAGGAUGUUUUCAUUAAUCAGUGAACGAAAGUUAGGGGAUCGAANACGAUCAGAUACCGUCGUAGUCNUAACCAUAAACUAUGCCGAUCAGGGAUCGGUGGAUGCUU